Molecule: ribosomal RNA, 373 nt
Filed under: uncultured organism
Description: partial 16S ribosomal RNA
Rfam family: Bacterial small subunit ribosomal RNA
Source: RNAcentral
GUAGGUGGCAAGCGUUGUCCGGAAUUAUUGGGCGUAAAGCGCGCGCAGGCGGUUCUUUAAGUCUGAUGUGAAAGCCCACGGCUCAACCGUGGAGGGUCAUUGGAAACUGGAGAACUUGAGUACAGAAGAGGAAAGCGGAAUUCCACGUGUAGCGGUGAAAUGCGUAGAGAUGUGGAGGAACACCAGUGGCGAAGGCGGCUUUCUGGUCUGUAACUGACGCUGAGGCGCGAAAGCGUGGGGAGCAAACAGGGAUUAGAUACCCUGAUAGUCCACGCCGUAAACGAUGAGUGCUAAGUGUUAGGGGGUUUCCGCCCCCCUUAGUGCUGCAGCUAACGCAUUAAGCACUCCGCCUGGGAGUACGGCCGCAAGGCUG